This is a long non-coding RNA of Anas platyrhynchos (mallard), 5453 nucleotides long. RefSeq lists it as uncharacterized. The record is from RefSeq and is a predicted model, not a curated record. Lineage: Eukaryota; Metazoa; Chordata; Aves; Anseriformes; Anatidae.
CCUCAGUUUAAUCAGCUGAAGCCACAUCAGCUGAAGUUACCUGUAGCAGCACAGGCAAGGCUACAUAAACAGCCUCACCGCAGCCCUGAGGUUGCUGCCUCUAGCAGGGUGCUGCUGGGGAGGUGCAGAGCAAGGAAGUUUUCCAAUGGGUGACAAGCACAGACUACGCCAUUUAUGUGAACACAUUAAUCUCCGGAACUUUCAAGAUGUAAAGGAACAUUUGGCAGCUGGGAACCAGGGAGAUGAAGGCAGAGAUUUUGUAACCGAAAGCAGUGUGCCACUUUAAUAUCAAACCCAGAAUAUUUCAUGGGAAAGAUGGAAAUGGAGCUUCCAGUCGGGAAAAGUCGAGGUGAAGCAGGUCGGUGUUCUGCUGCUAUUUCCGUAAGGGUGGAAGCUGUGCUGCAUGAUACAGACAUCGUGUAUUUAUACUGCUAUUGAAACACCUUCCAAGCAAAAACUUUUCAGUGGUCCCAAGUCUUCCUAAUAUGUGGGAAAUUAUCGGAGGAAAUCAGAGGAAAUUUUGAAGUGCUAAUCUGGAACAUCAAUUUUAAAAAACAAGCGCCAACCAAUUAAGUUCAAAAUAUUUGGAUUUCCCCCACCCAGUGCUCCAGUUUUGAUGAGCUCUAUUGAUUUCCUCUUGCGUAAGUCACUUUCUCGUAAGCAUACCUCGGGAGAGAAAUAAAUCUGUUUGGAUACACUAGGAGGUCAGGCUGCGUUUAGAUGGCACCACUCACGCUUUGUCCAGACUGAGCAUUUGGAAGAGCAAUACAAUUUAUUACUGAAUGAGAGGAUGCAAAGAGCAUCUAGGUUUAACUGCUCCAUAUUUUUUUGUUUUAAAAUAUUCCUGGCAAGCUGUUCCUUUCGGUUCCCAAAGCGCUAUCAGAAGUUGGUGGAAUAAUGCUCUUCCAUGGGUCCAGAAGAAGCCAGGAAGGGGCUCCCCUGCAGAGGCAGUAGUCGAUGUUUUGGAUAAGGUGUCCUGCAGCACGGUUAUGUGACACUUCUCGUGCAGCCCCAGCUACGUGAGACUGCUUGGAGAACUGCACCAUCCUCCUUUCUGGCUUGGGCACCAACCCCUGCCAGCAGCACGCAGACAACUUGGUGAUGCUCAUAGGAAGCUCCUGGGGGCAGAAGAGCUGUCUGAAAGCUGGCCUGUACCCUGCCAUCCCUCCCUCUGUGCCAGCCCCAUCCCUGAAAACAGAGAUUUCUGUCCUUUAAGUGGAUGGGGGUGGGAGCCUUGCUCAGUGUGGCAGUGUUGGUGAUGCUUGGGGAUGCUGAUGGAUGCCCGUGGCACCAUGAUUGUGGGCCAGGGCCUCAAGGAAAGAAACGUGAAGGCAGUGAUCAGAGAAAGUGUGCAGAAUUCUCCUGCUCUUUUCUUUUUCAGUUUAAUUGACAUUCCUGACCUUUUCUCAGGGCAGUUUCCACUGAGAAGCAGCACCAAAUAUCCCUCUCUUCACCUCCCUGUGACACACCUUGGCUGUCUCCAGGGAGCCUGUCCUCUCCCCAGCACCCUGCAGCAUCUGGGGAACAGACGUGGCAGCAGCUCAAGCUCCAAAAGUAAGGAUAAGCCUGCAACAUGUGGGCUUGCUCAUUAUUUCGUGACUUGGGUAACAGCUUGGUGUUUUCAGGCAUUGCUGAGGAUGCAGUGGGUGCCUGAUCACCCCUCUGGGAGUUGGAGGUGCAGAUUGUGGCAUGUUUUUCUAACAUCUUUGGGGUAUAAAUACAAGUGUGUGCAUCACCGCAUGGCUCCUAGGAGUGAGUAAGUGAUAAGCUUGCAAACAUCAUCUAGGACAGGUGUGUUACUGAAGGCACAAUAUGAAUUCAGAGAAGCAAGGGGGCAUUUUGGCUACAGGCAUGUGAAUAAGCCCCUUGCAGUGUGGUGCUGUGAGAUCUUUUUCCCACAGUAGUCUUGAAGAGAAAUGAGAAGAUGGAGCUAGGAUUUCAUCUCAGAAAGGAAAGGUGUGAUCCUACAGGUCUCCCUGCAGGGCUCAGCAGGUGGGAAGGCAGCACAGUCUCUCUGUAGCGAGCAGAGCUGUGGUUUAUCCUCUUUCCCUGCAGAGGGAGGUGCUGGUCCCCCUCCCUCUCCUUCCAGCCCGUCCUCCUCAGUAGCACACUGUAACCCAUGACCCCUCGCAUAAAAGAGGGGAAUACUAAUUGCUUGGAAACACUCCACAGAAAGUGGACGUUAAGUGGACUAGUGCCGACCAGCAAUGGAAAUUACAGCACGGACACCACCAGAAUCCAUCACAACUAAUGCGAUUAGAGCGGAUGGCACAGGAAUUCAUAAUGAUCUGCUCUGUGCCCUGAAGUUGUGUCAGUGUAUCCGAGCUGGGCUUUGCUCUUCUCCUGCCCUCUACUUGCACACUUUGAAGAGUACAGACAAGGGAGGCCCCCCAGGAGACUUUCAUCCCACCCUGUACCUCUCUCAUAGCACCCUUGUUCCUAAUUGUAUGCAGAGACAACAGCAAUGGCAAUGACUUCAUAACAAGCCCUCCUAAUGAAUAAAUCAUCCUAAUUUCAAGGCGAAGUUAGCACAACCAUCCACUGUGUCAUUUCCAUGAAUCACAGUGAUAAAGGGCUGUGCUUGUUGAGACAUUGCUUAUGCAAAUGCGAUAGAGCACUAAUGAAUGUAAGCAAAGUCCUGCAGUGCCAGGGCAAGGCUAGCUUGUGCCAAAACUCCCAGGAAGCGGCUGCUGCUUUGUCCAAGGGAGCAAGUGACGGGCUGGGGGGCGGGGGGAGGCUAUUCUUUAAGGAUGUAUUUUGGUGAUAUUUCUGGUUUAUGAACAGUGUGAUCUCUCUGAGUUGCUGGAAAUUGUGUUAGAGGAGGGGGCAUUUUGUAUCAGGAUGAUCCAAAGACCAGCUCCUUUGUGCAGGGGGAGGGCACUGUAAGGUGCUGGAAAGGACCCCUGAUACUUUGGAUUUUCUUCAUUAUUCUCCAAAGCCUAAUCUAAUUUAACACCUCACAAAGCAGGGCUUCGCUGAGGAGGUAUCUCUGUUCUCAAGCAGAUCUCUUUGCUAUUGUGUCUGUGCUGAUGUUCAGUACCUUGAUGCUAUUGUUUGUAUUCCCUGGAAGCCCAUAAAAGAGGUCUAGAGCCAACCAAGGGUUAGCCCUGCGGAGCUAGAUGAUUUAUGGGCAGCGAGCAAGAGAAGGCCCUGCCACAAACAGCCAGAAGGGUGAAAUAGCUGUGUGAGGGCCGGGCUGGCAGAGAAAGGAGGAGUGAUUUCUGCAAGGUCACACAAGUCACAGCACAAAGCUGGGAACAGGCUUGAUGAUUCACAGCAAAUGGCCAUAUAUUGUCCUGCUGAUGCAGAAGUCUCUGAUAUCCCUGACUAACACACCACGUCAAGAAAUUAUUUCAUGCUGCGGAAUCCUCUGGCACCAAGUAUCAGCCAAAAAAUGUCUAAAAUGGUGAUUGUAACUCAAUAUCCACCACCAAAGGUUUCCUGCUCACAAUAGGUGCCAAGAACAAUUGAUUUUUCUUUUUUUUUUUUACAAUUGCUCUCUUUGUUAGAUGAUGUCAUGGAUUAUUUAUCUCUGAAAGCAUUAAAUGAUACAAAGCCCUUGAUGAGUCACUGGGAAAAACAAUCUUCAAGCCUAGCUGGUGCAAGAAGAAAAGACCAGUGGCGGUCCGCUUAAUGGACCUGCUUUAGCAAAAGACGUGAGACCCAUAAAUCCCCCGGUCUCUAACACUUCUAACACUUGAAAGCAAUUGCAUUUCUCCGUUCCUGAGUCCUGUAGUCAAGCACCAAGCAGCUCCCUGCCUGGCGUUUGGGUUUCAAAGCCAAGCAGCAUCGCUCCUUGGAGAGUUUGAGCCAGCGAGGUCAGCGGCAUCACAGCACGUGCUGCUGUCCCCAGCGUGGCUCUGUCAAAGCAUCCCAGGCAAACUGAGCAGUUACCAGGUUUUUAUAAGGUCCCUGCAAUCCCCCUUUGCAGCCUGAAAACAAAGGAAAAACAUGCCUCAAGCACACUGAUAAAGGGCUUUUGAAUGGAGGCAGCUGAAUCACACGCCAUUUCACAAUUAGCACUUUAAUUUUGAACAUUAAUUAGGACGCUGGUGUUUGGAGAGUUUAGCUCUCCUCGACCCACUUACAUUGUUCAGAGACGGGCUAAAGAGAUACUGAAGUUUGCAAAUAAAUCAAUGGGAAAAAAAAUUAAAAGUCAGGAGCAGCUGGAGCCCAUGAGCUGAAUACUGGUGACCUGGGAAAUGCUUCACAAAAAGGGACUUGCUUACUAGAGCAUGGGAAGAAACAAUAUUUCAGUUACAAUGCCAUGACUCUAAAGAAAUAUAGGCACACAGAAGAAAGAGAAUGGCUUCUUGUGCAAGGUGUAGAAUAGGUUACAGCUGGGAAUCCACAGCCCAGCUUUGGUUCGCCAAAUAGCUCUCUUAGGAACUCCUGCAGUUAUCCUAUCUAGCUCUAACAUCUUCUGAAAACAUUAUUCUUGUGCAAGACGAAAAGAUGUUGCUUAUUUGGAGGUGUAAAUGCAAUAAAUUAAAGCCAAAAGUCUGUGAAGAGGCUUGGAUAUGAAUUCGUUAUGAAUACACCCUGAUGAAAUGAGAUUUACUGUCUCUGCUUUGCAUAAGGGAGUGGAAUGAAAGCUGGAAAUAAAGCCAGACAGAGAGGAGCAUAUCCCAGCCGUAAUGUAAACAGGAGUGCUAUUAAGGAGUAGCUACAGGUGAAGCAACAAAUAUAUUUAUCCUCAAGAAUUAGAGACACUGAAAACACCUGCUGCUUUCCAGAAGGAUGAAAGCCAAGAAAAGAGAAUUCCUCUCAAGCCAGAAGAGAGGAAAUUAAAUAAGACGUCAGCGGCAAAACACAGCCCCAUUGCAGCACCAGCAGAGCGGCCUUGGUCACGUCCUCAGGGCCACCUGGUGUAGCAGCCAGCAGAGCAUCCAUCCCUGCAGCAGGAGCAUCGAAGCAGGGACUGGAAUACAAACAGCACAUUCAGCUUGGCAGGGUAGAUGGCAGUUUUAGGGAGCAGGGAGGACUUUACCUUGUCACACAGUGCUCCAGCCUUCCUGGCAAGCACACGAUGCAUGCAGGAGGCAGUGUCUCACAUCCUCCCCUAUUCCUGUCCCUGGCACAGAAGAGGCAAGAGCUCAGGCUCUCGCAAUUUGCAUCAGAGACCACUGCUGGAAAGCACACAGCAGAUUGGUGAGUUGCAUGAAUGCUGUUUAUUUUUCUUUAUGGUGGAAAAAAAAGCUGCUGUGGAGAUCAGGGUCCUAUUACUCAGUGCUCUGCAUGGUGUUCUGCUUGAUUUAAGUGGCAGAAACCUUAAUUAAACAGGCUUCUUAAUACUGCAGUUCAAACUACUGGAAAGAAACAUUUGUCUGGUCAAAGCAAACAGGGUUUGAUGAGUUCCCCUGAGGGAUCCAGGGCAUGGAACGAGAACGGCACAGAGGAGAUGCUAAGUCCAGCAGGAUAUGGCUGGAUUAUUCCUCUCAUACCCUUUAUAU